GAGGGGCAUCCGAAGUCGCUGUGCUAACCGCAAGGAGGCAGCUAACCACGGUAGGGUCAGCGACUGGGGUGAAGUCGUAACAAGGUAGCCGUAGGUGAACCUGCAGAAGGAUCA
Molecule: ribosomal RNA, 114 nt
Filed under: uncultured eukaryote
Lineage: Eukaryota
Description: partial small subunit ribosomal RNA
Source: RNAcentral